This 384-nucleotide ribosomal RNA is filed under the name uncultured bacterium. RNAcentral's name for it is "bacterial SSU rRNA". It matches the Rfam family "Bacterial small subunit ribosomal RNA", at positions 28 to 408 of the family's 1533-position model. The record is from RNAcentral.
GACGAACGUUGGCGGCGUGCUUAAUACAUGCAAGUCAACUGAAGCACCGGUAGUAAUACUGGUGUGGAGGUGGCGCACGGGUGAGUAACACGUAGGUAAUCUGCCUUCAGGUCUGACAUAACCCCGAGAAAUCGGGGCUAAUAGCAGAUGAUGCAGCGGCUUGACAUCAAAGACAGUUGUUAAAGCUUCGGCGCCUGAAGAUGAGCCUGCGUCUGAUUAGCUAGUUGGCGGAGUAAUGGCCCACCAAGGCUACGAUCAGUAACUGGUCUGAGAGGAUGAUCAGUCACACUGGAACUGAGACACGGUCCAGACUCCUACGGGAGGCAGCAGUAAGGAAUAUUGCUCAAUGGGAGAAAUCCUGAAGCAGCAACGCCGCGUGAGGGA